AUUGAACGCUGGCGGAAUGCUUUACACAUGCAAGUCGAACGGUAGAGGGGGCAACCCCUCGAGAGUGGCGAACGGGUGAGUAAUAUAUCGGAACGUGCCCAGUCGUGGGGGAUAACGUAGCGAAAGUUACGCUAAUACCGCAUACGAUCUAAGGAUGAAAGCGGGGGAUCGCAAGACCUCGCGCGAUUGGAGCGGCCGAUAUCAGAUUAGGUAGUUGGUGGGGUAAAGGCUCACCAAGCCAACGAUCUGUAGCUGAUCUGAGAGGACGACCAGCCACACUGGAACUGAGACACGGUCCAGACUCCUACGGGAGGCAGCAGUGGGGAAUUUUGGACAAUGGACGCAAGUCUGAUCCAGCCAUUCCGCGUGCAGGAUGAAGGCCCUCGGGUUGUAAACUGCUUUUGUACGGAACGAAAAGGUCUCUCUUAAUACGGGGGACUCAUGACGGUACCGUAAGAAUAAGCACCGGCUAACUACGUGCCAGCAGCCGCAGUAA
RNAcentral lists this ribosomal RNA (496 nucleotides) under uncultured bacterium. RNAcentral's name for it is "partial 16S ribosomal RNA". It matches the Rfam family "Bacterial small subunit ribosomal RNA", at positions 30 to 523 of the family's 1533-position model. The record is from RNAcentral.